RNAcentral lists this ribosomal RNA (253 nucleotides) under uncultured bacterium. Its description in RNAcentral is "partial 16S ribosomal RNA". It matches the Rfam family "Bacterial small subunit ribosomal RNA", at positions 524 to 776 of the family's 1533-position model. The record is from RNAcentral.
UACGUAGGGGGCAAGCGUUGUCCGGAAUCAUUGGGCGUAAAGCGCGCGUAGGUGGCUUCGUAAGUCCGUUGUGAAAGUCAAAGGCUCAACCUUUGAAAGCCGAUGGAUACUGCGGAGCUAGAGUACGGAAGAGGCGAGUGGAAUUCCUGGUGUAGCGGUGGAAUGCGCAGAUAUCAGGAGGAGCACCAAUAGCGAAGGCAGCUCGCUGGGACGUUACUGACACUGAGGCGCGAAAGCGUGGGGAGCGAACAGG